GGGGGAUAACAGUUAGAAAUAGCUGCUAAUACCGCAUAAGCGCACGGUUCCGCAUGGAACAGUGUGAAAAACUCCGGUGGUGUGAGAUGGACCCGCGUCUGAUUAGCCAGUUGGCGGGGUAACGGCCCACCAAAGCGACGAUCAGUAGCCGGCCUGAGAGGGUGAACGGCCACAUUGGGACUGAGACACGGCCCAAACUCCUACGGGAGGCAGCAGUGGGGAAUAUUGCACAAUGGGGGAAACCCUGAUGCAGCGACGCCGCGUGAGUGAAGAAGUAUUUCGGUAUGUAAAGCUCUAUCAGCAGGGAAGAAAGUGACGGUACCUGAAUAAGAAGCCCCGGCUAACUACGUGCCAGCAGCCGCGGUAAUACGUAGGGGGCAAGCGUUAUCCGGAUUUACUGGGUGUAAAGGGAGCGUAGACGGCAAGGCAAGUCUGAAGUGAAAGCCCGGUGCUUAACGCCGGGACUGCUUUGGAAACUGUUUAGCUGGAGUACCGGA
This 497-nucleotide ribosomal RNA is filed under the name uncultured bacterium. Its description in RNAcentral is "bacterial SSU rRNA". It matches the Rfam family "Bacterial small subunit ribosomal RNA", at positions 138 to 653 of the family's 1533-position model. The record is from RNAcentral.